RNAcentral lists this microRNA precursor (185 nucleotides) under Oryza rufipogon (brownbeard rice). Its description in RNAcentral is "MIR812 microRNA precursor family". It matches the Rfam family "MIR812 microRNA precursor family". Lineage: Eukaryota; Viridiplantae; Streptophyta; Magnoliopsida; Poales; Poaceae. The record is from Rfam by way of RNAcentral.
AAUAAGUACAUUUUGCAUGGUUUAUGUGAAACGUUUGAUCAUUCGCUUUAUUUGAAUUUUUUUUUAUGAUUAGUAUUUUUGUUAUUAUUAGAUGAUAAAACAUGAAUAGUACUUUAUGUGUGAUUUUUUUUAUAAAUUUUUCAAAUAAGACGGACAUCAAACGUUGGACGCGGAUUCUCAUGGCU